GCUUGGCCCUAAACAUAGAUAAUACAAACACAAUAUUAUCCGCCAGAGAACUACAAGCGAAAAGCUCAAAACUCCAAGGACUUGGCGGUGCUUCAAACCAACCUAGAGGAGCCUGUCCUAUAAUCGAUACCCCACGUUCUACCUUUCCCCCCCUUCAGCCUAUAUACCGCCGUCGCCUACCUUGUGAAAGAAACAAAGUAGACAAAACAAUUAACAACUAACACGUCAGGUCAAGGUGUAGCACAUGGGGCGGCAGAGAUGGGCUCACGAACGGCACACUGAAACAUGUACCCAAAGGUGGAUUUAGUAGUAAGAUAGACAAGAGAAGCUAUCUUAAACCAGCUCUGAAGCGCGC
Molecule: ribosomal RNA, 355 nt
Filed under: Tropidophorus sinicus
Lineage: Eukaryota; Metazoa; Chordata; Lepidosauria; Squamata; Scincidae
Description: partial 12S ribosomal RNA
Rfam family: Bacterial small subunit ribosomal RNA
Source: RNAcentral